CACUAUAUGUCCUUUGUGUUUGUAAUGCCUCUAGUUAUUGUCUAACUAACACACUUACUUACUUAGAUAAAUUGCUUGCUUAAUUCUUAUCCGCACAUCCUUUAGUUGCAAGCAUAUUUAAUCAAGUCGAAGUCUAUACAUCAAACCCUUGCUAAGUUUAACUUUCACUGUGCAUCUAUACAACUUAGCAUAGUUAAUCAUAAAGUUUUAGA
This 212-nucleotide long non-coding RNA is filed under the name Phoenix dactylifera (date palm). RNAcentral describes it as "long non-coding RNA (PDAC_LNC017512)". Lineage: Eukaryota; Viridiplantae; Streptophyta; Magnoliopsida; Arecales; Arecaceae. The record is from RNAcentral.